ACUCAAAACAAGAACAACCAUUUCCUUUCAAUAAGUUUCGUAUGAACAAAACUCCCUCCAAAAACGAGUUUUCUUGCAAAGCAGCAUCUUCUGGCUCGACAGCUGAGUACACAAUGGAAAACCUACGAAACAACACAAAUAGGGAUGAAACAAAGAAGAAAACUACUUAU
Rhagoletis pomonella (apple maggot) is the source of this 170-nucleotide long non-coding RNA. RefSeq lists it as uncharacterized. The transcript has 2 exons. The record is from RefSeq and is a predicted model, not a curated record. Lineage: Eukaryota; Metazoa; Arthropoda; Insecta; Diptera; Tephritidae.